This is a long non-coding RNA of Anolis sagrei ordinatus, 454 nucleotides long. RefSeq lists it as uncharacterized. The record is from RefSeq and is a predicted model, not a curated record. NCBI's taxonomy places the organism in Eukaryota, Metazoa, Chordata, Lepidosauria, Squamata, Anolidae.
ACUUUUUUUGCCCAUGAAUUGGGGCACACCCCGAGUUUUUUUCUUUUCCCAGUGCUGCUGCGCCUCCUGACAAAAUGAAUCAUAAGACAGUUUGCUUCCAUGCUCGAAUUUGUGAGAAAGAAAACCAUUCUACCAUUCAGUCAAAACAAGCCGCUGAAGUAUAACACCUUUUGUCUUUUUUCAGGCCUUCUACUUGUAGUUUUGAGAUACUUGUUUUCAACAUCCUGGAGUUUUUUUCCUCUUUUCUCCUAGUCAGGAAGAACCUGGGAAAAGAACUUAGAAAAAGAAUUCUACUAGUUGGGGGAAAAUCAGAGUGCUAAACCUCUGCAUUUUCAAACCUGCUCAGUUCAGCCAAAGCCUGACCAAAUAGAAGGCAUCCCAAUUCAACCAACCUUUUCCCUGAAGAGUGGCCUUUCUUCCCCUUGAGUGUACCUAGACAUGUUAAUAUCUGUGG